RNAcentral lists this transfer RNA (72 nucleotides) under Camelus bactrianus (Bactrian camel). It matches the Rfam family "tRNA". Rfam says of the family: Transfer RNA (tRNA) molecules are approximately 80 nucleotides in length. Their secondary structure includes four short double-helical elements and three loops (D, anti-codon, and T loops). Lineage: Eukaryota; Metazoa; Chordata; Mammalia; Artiodactyla; Camelidae. RNAcentral also lists the same sequence under 2 other names. The record is from Rfam by way of RNAcentral.
GAGGGUAUAGCUGAGCGGUAGAGUGCAUGCUUAGCAUGCACGAAGUCCUGGGUUCAGUCCCCAGUACCUCCU